RNAcentral lists this ribosomal RNA (207 nucleotides) under uncultured bacterium. RNAcentral describes it as "partial 16S ribosomal RNA". It matches the Rfam family "Bacterial small subunit ribosomal RNA", at positions 568 to 774 of the family's 1533-position model. The record is from RNAcentral.
CGUGUAGGCGGCUUUUUAAGUCUGGAGUGAAAGUCCUGCUUUCAAGGUGGGAAUUGCUUUGGAAACUGGAGAGCUUGAGUGCGGAAGAGGUAAGUGGAAUUCCCAGUGUAGCGGUGAAAUGCGUAGAGAUUGGGAGGAACACCAGUGGCGAAGGCGACUUACUGGGCCGUAACUGACGCUGAGGCGCGAAAGCGUGGGGAGCGAACA